This 383-nucleotide ribosomal RNA is filed under the name uncultured bacterium. RNAcentral describes it as "bacterial SSU rRNA". It matches the Rfam family "Bacterial small subunit ribosomal RNA", at positions 29 to 417 of the family's 1533-position model. The record is from RNAcentral.
AUUGAACGCUGGCGGAAUGCUUUACACAUGCAAGUCGAGCGGCAGCGCGGGGCAACCUGGCGGCGAGCGGCGAACGGGUGAGUAAUGCAUCGGAACGUACCCCGUCGUGGGGGAUAACUACCCGAAAGGGUAGCUAAUACCGCAUACGACCUGAGGGUGAAAGCGGGGGACCGAAAGGCCUCGCGCGAUGGGAGCGGCCGAUGCCGGAUUAGCUAGUUGGUAGGGUAAAGGCCUACCAAGGCGACGAUCCGUAGCUGGUCUGAGAGGACGACCAGCCACACUGGAACUGAGACACAGUCCAGACUCCUACGGGAGGCAGCAGUGGGAAUUUGGACAAUGGGCGAAAGCCUGAUCCAGCCAUUCCGCGUGAGUGAAGAAGGCCU